GACGAACGCUGGCGGCGUGCUUAACACAUGCAAGUCGAACGAAAAUACCAAGCUUGCUUGGUUGAUUAGUGGCGAACGGGUGAGUAACACGUGAGUAACCUGCCCCUUACUUUCCUGGAUAACUGCUCGAAAGGGUAGCUAAUACGGGAUAUUCUGACCAUCCUGCAUGGGUUGGUUUGGAAAGGUUGUUUUUCUGGCAAGGGAUGGGCUCGCGGCCUAUCAGCUUGUUGGUGGGGUGAUGGCCUACCAAGGCUUUGACGGGUAGCCAGCCUGAGAGGGUGGACGGUCACACUGGGACUGAGAUACGGCCCAGACUCCUACGGGAGGCAGCAGUGGGGAAUAUUGCACAAUGGGCGCAAGCCUGAUGCAGCGACGCCGCGUGAGGGAUGAAGGCCUUCGGGUUGUAAACCUCUUUCGUCAGGGAACAAGGCAUUGCCUUUUUUGGUGGUGUUGAGGGUACCUGGAUAAGAAGCGCCGGCUAACUACGUGCCAGCAGCCGCGGUAAUACGUAGGGCGCAAGCGUUGUCCGGAAUUAUUGGGCGUAAAGAGCUCGUAGGCGGCUGGUCGCGUCUGUCGUGAAAACUUCCGGCUCAACCGGGGGCUUGCGGUGGGUACGGGCCGGCUAGAGUGCGGUAGGGGUAACUGGAACUCCUGGUGUAGCGGUGGAAUGCGCAGAUAUCAGGAAGAACACCGAUGGCGAAGGCAGGUUACUGGGCCGUUACUGACGCUGAGGAGCGAAAGCGUGGGGAGCGAACAGG
This 758-nucleotide ribosomal RNA is filed under the name uncultured Actinomyces sp. RNAcentral describes it as "bacterial SSU rRNA". It matches the Rfam family "Bacterial small subunit ribosomal RNA", at positions 28 to 776 of the family's 1533-position model. The record is from RNAcentral. Lineage: Bacteria; Bacillati; Actinomycetota; Actinomycetes; Actinomycetales; Actinomycetaceae.